GAGUUUGAUCMUGGCUCAGAACGAACGCUGGCGGCAUGCCUAACACAUGCAAGUCGAACGCUAUUUAUAGAGUGGCGCACGGGUGAGUAACGCGUGGGAACCUGCCUUUUUCUGUGGGAUAACGGUUGGAAACGACCGCUAAUACCGCAUACGCCCUACGGGGGAAAGGUCCGCCGGAGAAAGAGGGGCCCGCGUCUGAUUAGCUAGUUGGUAGGGUAACGGCCUACCAAGGCGACGAUCAGUAGCUGGUCUGAGAGGAUGAUCAGCCACACUGGGACUGAGACACGGCCCAGACUCCUACGGGAGGCAGCAGUGGGGAAUAUUGGACAAUGGGGGCAACCCUGAUCCAGCAAUGCCGCGUGUGUGAUGAAGGCCUUAGGGUUGUAAAGCACUUUCACUGGUGAAGAUGAUGACUGUAACCAGAGAGGAAGCCCCGGCUAACUUCGUGCCAGCAGCCGCGGUAAUACGAAGGGGGCGAGCGUUGUUCGGAAUUACUGGGCGUAAAGGGCGCGUAGGCGGUCUUUUAAGUUAGGCGUGAAAGCCCCGGGCUCAACCUGGGAACUGCGCUUAAGACUGGAAGACUAGAAAACGGAAGAGGGUAGUGGAAUUCCCAGUGUAGAGGUGAAAUUCGUAGAUAUUGGGAAGAACACCAGUGGCGAAAGCGGCUACCUGGUCCGAUUUUGACGCUGAGGCGCGAAAGCGUGGGGAGCAAACAGGAUUAGAUACCCUGGUAGUCCACGCCGUAAACGAUGUCUGCUAGAUGUCGGGGGGUUGCCCCUCGGUGUCGCCGCUAACGCAUUAAGCAGACCGCCUGGGAAGUACGGUCGCAAGAUUAAAACUCAAAGGAANUUGACGGGGGCCCGC
This 864-nucleotide ribosomal RNA is filed under the name uncultured bacterium. RNAcentral describes it as "bacterial SSU rRNA". It matches the Rfam family "Bacterial small subunit ribosomal RNA", at positions 9 to 924 of the family's 1533-position model. The record is from RNAcentral.